AAGGCUGAACAAUAUCCUGCCGGCGUGCUCGGCGCGGCCCCCACCCCGCCUCGUGGAACUGUGCGGUGGGCAGGUGCAUGGCGGCAGUGCGGGGCUGCGGGCGGGGGAGCGAGCGGGGCAGGAAGUUUGCUCUUUCCCCUCCUAGCUUUAUACCGACGGAGCUGAAGGAACAGCGGCGGGCGCGCUGCUAACGCACAGCGGAACCCCCAUCCCCCCGCCGCCCCCUUUCUCCUCCCCAGACGUCCGGAGGGGUCACCCCGCAGCGCCCCGCCGGGCCCCGAGGCUCCGCCGCCGCAGCGCGGACGGGAGGGGACGGGCACCGCCGAAACCACGGAGAGGGGCGAAGCGCGGAAGAUGGCUGUGUCUGGAAAGGAGAGUUGCAUCAUCAAGCAAAGAAGGGAUGAACUGUGCUACACAAGCAGACACACAGCCAGAAUAAUUAGAGUAUCAACUUAAGAGAAUUUGUGAACUGCACAUGCAAAAUUGAAGGAGCAAAGGUGGAGGGGAGUGGGGAGGGUGAUGAACAGAGCAUGGCCUCUGCACAAAGAACAGACAAAUCGAUACAUAUAGGAAGAGCUAAAUUAUCACUACGCACGUUACUAUAAAACAAGGGGAAUGUAUCAGGGCUAGGUAAAGAAAGAAACUGACGUUUACUGAAAUAAACACAGACAGCAUGGAGAGAAAAGGAAAUUGGUAAUAGGGUAAAAUACAUGAAAUAUUUAUCAUAUCUAGCAAGGCACAAAAUAGAUUAUAAUCUCAGAAGCAGAGAAAUGAAAUGCUCAAAAAUGAGUACAAUGUUACAUAACGCUGUUAGUCAAAGCAGAGAAGUAGAGGUGGAAUGCAUAGGAAACAUGAAAAGUUGUACAGAUGUUGCAUGUGCUGAAAAAGGUUACUAAGACUGCUACCGAGAGUGCUGAAAGGAAAAAAAAAAAAAAAAAAAAAAAACAAGAAACAGGUUUCACAAAGAAAAACAAGGGAAAAUGUCAAUGACACCUUCCAUAAUACGUGAUCAAGGGAUAAAUGCCUUGCGGCUGUUUAUUUAGAAACCUAUCUUUUUCCAAGACGGUAGAUCGAAUGUUAAAAAAAAUAAAUAAUAAUAAUAAUAAUAAUGAAAAAAGAAACAGAGAAUAAUUAUUUCCCAAGAUAUCUGAGCCUUUGGAGGAAAGAUAGUGUUAACUUGAAGAAUUAAAACUUCACAAGCACAAUGGAAAGUAUCAGCAUUGUAUCAGUUUUGAUCUGUUCCAGGAAAGCCUGGUACAGUCAUCUUCAGCAGCAGCAGCAGCACCAACCACGGAGGAAGAAAAACGUGAAAGCAGAGGGGGUUUGGGCUGGGCGACUGCUGCCUGCGGUGCGAUGGACAGAAGAGGCAGUGAGGGUAAUUGGAGUGAUGCAGAGCUGGUUAGAAUAGAGCAGAUAUUUAAAAAUAAUGAUUUGGAACAAGAUUAGGGACUCGAGCACCACCCUACAAAAGUGAUUACCGGAUGCGACAAUAACAACAACCAAGAAAACAAAAAGAUUAGAAUCUGCUCUAAAGUAACUUCUGCUUUGGUGUCAGAGACCAUUCCCUUCACGGUCAAAAAGCCCUUAAAAUGUUCAGAGUUUAGCAAAGUGAUUAAUCUAAAAAGCAGAGACAGUGAAUUAAAGGAGCAGGGAGAUAACAAUCUGAUAAUACAGGAGCACAGAAGGCCUAAUAAUGAUAUUAUUAUGCACACUAACCAAACACUGACAAACAAAUAUUCUGUUAAUUAUAUAAUCAUGCAUAUGCUUCCUAUGCUUGAGAUAAACGAUUACAGAAAAUCACUCUCUUCUUGAAACUGCAUAUAUGUGCUAAGCCCUGUAAACUCCCUGCAACAUGGAUUAAUUUAAUUUCUGCAUAUCACCUAUGUCUGGGAAAGUUAUUUGCCGCAGACUUGGCAGGCGGAGCGUGGAAUGCAGGCUUUGACCAGCAGGCAUGGGUAACUGCGGGCUGCUGCGUCCUGACGUACAGGCAGCAAUCAGAUCUCUCUUAUCAAUACCCAACUACUUGGAAUAAACUCAAGAUAAAGAUAUCUGAUUUUCAUUUGACCUACUCUAAUUUACACUUCACUGUGUCAACUUUGAUAUUAAAAUGUUCCAUUAGAACAAAGAUAUUUAUAAUAAAAACAUAUAUAAAGAAGAGAAGAUGAAUAGAUAUUGUCAUGGAUACGUAUGCAGGCAAUCAUUUAAACAUGCAGCAGGAGUAACAUCAUAUUUUUUCAUAGCUUCCAGUCAACAAACGGUGGACAAAUAUAUGCUUAAUAAAGCUUAUCAACCCUUA
This is a long non-coding RNA of Lagopus leucura (white-tailed ptarmigan), 2296 nucleotides long. RefSeq lists it as uncharacterized. The transcript is spliced from 2 exons. The record is from RefSeq and is a predicted model, not a curated record. Lineage: Eukaryota; Metazoa; Chordata; Aves; Galliformes; Phasianidae.